GUCUACGGCCAUACCACCCUGAACACGCCCAAUCUCAUCUGAUCUCAGAAGCUAAGCAGGGUCGGGUCUGGUUAGUACUUGGAUGGGAGAAAGGUCAGUGCAGUGUAGCUC
Molecule: ribosomal RNA, 111 nt
Organism: Ochotona princeps (American pika)
Lineage: Eukaryota; Metazoa; Chordata; Mammalia; Lagomorpha; Ochotonidae
Source: Ensembl